This 704-nucleotide long non-coding RNA is filed under the name Androctonus crassicauda. The record is from RNAcentral. Lineage: Eukaryota; Metazoa; Arthropoda; Arachnida; Scorpiones; Buthidae.
AUCUAAUCUAAUACUAGAAUACCAUCUAAUUUAAAAACUAGAAUAUCAUCAAUAUAUCUGCUAUAUAUGAGCUGCUAUCACUUUUUCUAUUUGAUAUAUCGGGGACGAGGUUUUAUCAACCAUAGGUCUUAUACUUAUUGAUAUUUUGUGGGCCUUUACAUAUAUGAAAAGCUUGGGAUCAUAGAAGUUGUUCAUAUGUCUAACCUUCUCAAAAGGAAGACAAAUAGUUGAACUUUAUUAUCUUAUUGACUUUAGCAUUUAAUACUUCGGUAGGGUCUGACCUGAAAACCUCUGAAUCUGAUUUCUGUAUAAAGUCCUGUAAGAGGUCACUAUAUUGUUCUUUCCUGAUAAUGGCUACUUUUCUAGAUUUGUCAUUCUAAUGCACACAACCAAUGCUUCUUCCAUCCAUCUCUUGGUAAACCUACCUGUUCCCUGGAAGUACUGUUCAGUCUCUUAUCCCUACAGCUAUUCUCUUCACUUCUCACAAACUCCCACCUUAUCUUCUCCCGAUAUGUUUCAUCAUGUUCAUGCGGUCCACAGAGGGGACCAUAUCAGAGAUAUACAUCAUUAUUUGAGACACUGCAUUUGACCUACAAGGAUCAAAUCUCUCACCUGAUCUGGGAGGGCUAGGAUUAUAAUGAAAAUCAGCACUGUUUAGCAGUAAAUAUUUUUGUUUCACUCUAGGCUGGCGUUUUUGGUGGUUG